GUGGAGUCUUGCUGUGGAAGGAAGCCAUUACUCCUACUGGUCAAGUAGCCAGCCAGUCUUCCUCCACACCCCACCCCACCCCAUUCCGGACCCCCACUCCUCCCUCUAUUGGCGGACAGAGAGAGAGAGAGGCCAAGGAGGGGGAUCCACUCCGUCCGAUGGCGAUGGCGCCGCCGCGUCUGCUGCGGGGCCUCAUCGCGCCGAUGUCGCCGGCCGACUGGCUGCCCUGCCACCUGCAGCUGCUGGCCUCGUCCGCCUCGCUCCUGCACCGCUGGUGGCUCCCCUCGCUCGCGCGCCUCCGCUGCCCCUCCUGCUCCGACGGAUUCAAGCUCUUCCUCGUCCUGCUCCUCUUCUCCGCCGCCCUCGCCGAGGUCCGCUUCGUCGCCUCCGCCUCCAUGGCCCCCACCCUCCGCCCGGGCGACCGCGCCGUCGCAGAAAAAGUCACCUACAUGUUCCGGAAGCCAUCUGCCGGGGACAUAGUCUUCUUCAGGGUGCCCGCCGCCCUGCAGAAUUGCGGCAUAAAUAAAGAUGUUGUAUUUAUUAAGAGGGUUGUUGCCACCCCUGGAGAUUUCAUCGAGGUCCGACAAGGCCAGCUUAUUGUUAAUGGUGUUGCACAGAAUGAACAUUACACCGCACCCCAUGGUGGGUCGUACAUGAUGGAAGCCAUGGUCCAGAGAUACUUGUAUACCCAAACUCCUAUGGGUCACUACUACACAAACAAAUGACUUUACCAUUGCAAGAGGAGGACCAAAAGUGGCAUGGCUGCUCCGUGUUGUUGACUUCUUGACUGCCCUGUUAUUCUUUCGAGAUGACGGGCCUCAGAUGCGCCUCCCUGAAGACCAUGUAUUCGUCAUGGGUGAUAACCGCAAUAACAGCUGCGAUUCUCGUGCCUGGGGACCUCUUCCUAUCAGCAACAUUGUUGGGAGACACAUUAUGUCCUUUACAAGAUCCUCUCUCCAAUAGCCAAGGCGAAGAUCUUCGAUGACCACCAGAGUUGCGAAACCCCUCCUCGAUGCCACUCGAUAUGAUGUUAUCGAGCUAUGUUGGGCCUCGAGCCCCUAGUAUGUAAAUCUGUGAGACCUUCCUUUCCUGUGUUAGCACGUUGUAUGUGUAGUGACCUAAUCCUGGGGAGAACUGAACAGUGACUUUGUAGCUGUUGUCACUCACCCCCACCCCUGGACUGUCAGCUGUUAAGCUUACCUGUUGGUAGAACCUGCAAGAUGUACCUAAAGGUUGCACCUUCUAGUAACCUUAGUUGUCAAAUCUAAUCGGUAAUGUUAUUAUUACCAUGCACUUGGCUGUCAAUCAAAAAAGGAAAAGGCUGCAUGCCUGAAGAUAAAUCUGUUUAUCUGA
RNA transcript from Triticum aestivum (bread wheat), 1353 nucleotides. It is a transcript of the gene named chloroplast processing peptidase, with no coding region annotated. NCBI's taxonomy places the organism in Eukaryota, Viridiplantae, Streptophyta, Magnoliopsida, Poales, Poaceae. The transcript has 7 exons. The record is from RefSeq and is a predicted model, not a curated record.